This 72-nucleotide transfer RNA is filed under the name Umbilicaria muhlenbergii. RNAcentral describes it as "tRNA-Ala (TGC) (tRNA-Ala-TGC-1-1)". It matches the Rfam family "tRNA". From Rfam's summary of the family: Transfer RNA (tRNA) molecules are approximately 80 nucleotides in length. Their secondary structure includes four short double-helical elements and three loops (D, anti-codon, and T loops). Further hydrogen bonds mediate the characteristic L-shaped molecular structure. tRNAs have two regions of fundamental functional importance: the anti-codon, which is responsible for specific mRNA codon recognition, and the 3' end, to which the tRNAs corresponding amino acid is attached (by aminoacyl-tRNA synthetases). tRNAs cope with the degeneracy of the genetic code in two manners: having more than one tRNA (with a specific anti-codon) for a particular amino acid; and 'wobble' base-pairing, i.e. permitting non-standard base-pairing at the 3rd anti-codon position. The record is from RNAcentral. Lineage: Eukaryota; Fungi; Ascomycota; Lecanoromycetes; Umbilicariales; Umbilicariaceae.
GGGGGUGUGGCUCAGUGGUAGAGCGUCCGCUUUGCAUGCGGAAGGCCCGGGUUUCGAUCACCCGCUCCUCCA